UAAAGCACAAACACAAAGAAAGGGAAGA
Molecule: small RNA, 28 nt
Filed under: Bombyx mori (domestic silkworm)
Lineage: Eukaryota; Metazoa; Arthropoda; Insecta; Lepidoptera; Bombycidae
Description: ovarian small RNA-18315
Source: RNAcentral